This is a long non-coding RNA of Antechinus flavipes (yellow-footed antechinus), 2406 nucleotides long. RefSeq lists it as uncharacterized. The record is from RefSeq and is a predicted model, not a curated record. Lineage: Eukaryota; Metazoa; Chordata; Mammalia; Dasyuromorphia; Dasyuridae. The transcript has 4 exons.
CUCAGCUGGAAGUUCUCUCUACCAAUGGUACACAAUUAGAUUAGAAGCAAUAAUUAUGCUUACCAAAUGACACGUGGUACGCAGCUGGCAGAGGAGUCAGUUGCACACUGAGAGUUUCACUUUAUAAUCUCAGAGAUUAUUCAGGGCAUUGGGAAGUUAGAAACGGUUUAAACGGGGUCACAAGUUUGUUUUUCCUUGCAGGUAUUUUUGGAUUUUAGGCCAAAUUCAACUGGAUUUGGAUCCAGUGUAACAAUGAGUGUUUUUUUAUUCAUUCAUUCAAAAAUUCGUCAAGACAAAACGGGUUGUUGAACACUGUGUCUGUGGCUUGAUCCCAAGAAUGGAAUAUUAUUGUUCUGUAAGAAAUGAUGAACUCUGAUUUCAGAGAGACUUACAUGAGCUGAUGCUGAAUGAAGUGAGCAGAACCGGGAGAUCACUGUAUACAGCAACAGCAGGACUGUGUGAUGAUCAGUUGAGAUGGACUUGGACCUUCUCAGCAAUGUGUUCUACACGGAGAUAUGCUGCCUGGGGAGCAAUUGAGCUUCCUAGAAUAUGAAGAAUGGUUAUGAAGAGGAGAAGCUGUCACCAAACACACUUGGAGAAACUGGCUGCAGGGGUGAUCAGAGGGAACAAGUUUCACUGUCUGGCUUCCCCCCUGUGAGGAGGGACAGUUUUGGAGUCACCACGAGAGCCAAAGACAGAUCAACUCUUUCUUCCAAUCCAGUUCUGGGCAAAGUUCACUGGCCAUCCGUGGCUCCUCUCACAGGUUACUUCUACCUUCUGAAUCCAAUUCUCCCUGUGCAACAAGAAAACUGUUCGGUUCUGCAUACAUAUAUUGUAUCUAGGAUCUACUGUAACCUAUUUACCAUGUAAAGGACUGCUUGCCAUCUGGGGGAGGGGGUGGAAGGAGGGAAGGGAAAAAGCAGAACAGAAGUGAAUGCAAGGGAUAAUGCUGUAAAAAAUUACCCAGGCAUGGGUUCUGUCAAUAAAAAAUGAUUUAAAAAAAAAAAAGAGAGAGAGAGAAAAGAUCCCUGUUAUUGAUGCGUUUGUAUUUCAUUAAUAGGGAAAUAGCAUUUACACGAUUAAGUAUAAAUCAAAGAUAGGGAGGAAAGACGAUAAAGAAAAAUUACAUUAGGGAUAUUUGAAGAGGAAGAAAAAUUAUUAAUGAGAAAGAACAAGAGUAUCUAACAUUUAUUUUGUCUUUUAAGGCCUUCAAAAUGCUACACGUACUGUUUAGUCAUAACAACUGAGUGAAGAGGGGUUAUGAUUAUCAUUAUUUUAUAGAUAAGGAAGCUUUGAAUGAGAUGGGUUAAGUGAUUUACCCAGAGUCACGCAGCUAGUCAGAUUUGGAACUCAAUUUGCUGUGUUACUUAGCUGGUUAAAUAAAAUCCCCCCACUUAUUGUGGAAAGAUGGAGUCUGAAUUGAGCCUUGAAAAAUAAGGGUAAAAAGAAAAAAGAAAAACAAGGAUUACAAAAGGCCAAGAUAGAGCAUACUUGGGGGAUAUUCCUUUGUUUCUAUUAUCUGUGUCUGGGUAACCGCGGGGUGAAUGACUGUAGGCUGGAAGAGCCUUAGAAAGGUCAUUGAUUCCAAUCUAGCCACUCUGCUAAUGAGGAAGUUGAGGUCCAAAGAGAUGAAGCAUCUUGACUAAGAUCAUGUAGUUGUACAUGGUGGGGCUGGGAUUCAAACUCAAGUCCUUUGACUAAAAGAAGAAUUGUCAAAAUCAGGGCCACGAGCUUGACUUCAGAACCUGGGAAUGCGCCAGGACAGAUCAUUAGGGAGAGAAGGCCGGUGACAUCUGGGAGGGAAGCGGGGACUGGAAAGGCCCGGCCUGACUUUGUUAAGAACAAGUCGCACCAGACUGCCCUCAUUUCCUUUUGGAUAGGGUUGCUGGUCCGGGAGAGGAGGGGAACGCUGUGAUUAUAAUUUGUCUCGAUUUUGGCAAAGCAUUUGAUAAAGGCUCUCAUUCUGUUCUUGUAGAGGAGGUGGAAAAAUACAGACUAGAUGAUAAUGCAAUUAUUGUUAAGUUGUUUUUUCAGUCAUGUCCAACUCUUUGAGGUUUUCUUGGCAAAAAUAUUGGAGGAGUUUGACAUUUCCUUCUUUAGCUCAUUUUACAGAGAAGUAAACUGAGGCACACAGGCUAAGUGACUUGAACAGGAUCACACAGCUAAGGAUCUGAGGUUGGAUUUGAACUCGGGAAGAGGAACUCCAGGCCCAGCACUCUAUCCACUUUGCCACCUUGUCCUAGAUAACACAACUAGAUAGAUUCAAAUUUGACUCUAUGACUGGACUCAAAUAAUGUCAUUAAUGGUUCAAUGUCAGCAUUACGGUCUCUAAGGUGGUGCUCCAGGGAAUCUAUUUUUUUUCCAUGCUAUUCAACUUAAAAAAAAAAAUCAACAAUUUGGAUAAAG